UGCUUUACACAUGCAAGUCGAACGCGAAAGGGGGGCAACUCCUGAGUAGAGUGGCGAACGGGUGAGUAAUACAUCGGAACAUAUCCUGUAGUGGGGGAUAACCCCGAGAAAUCGGGGCUAAUACCGCAUACGACCUUAGGGAGAAAGCGGGGGACCGCAAGGCCUCGCGCUAUAGGAGUGGCCGAUGUCGGAUUAGCUAGUUGGUGGGGUAAAGGCCCACCAAGGCGACGAUCCGUAGCUGGUCUGAGAGGAUGAUCAGCCACACUGGGACUGAGACACGGCCCAGACUCCUACGGGAGGCAGCAGUGGGGAAUUUUGGACAAUGGGCGCAAGCCUGAUCCAGCAAUGCCGCGUGAGUGAAGAAGGCCUUCGGGUUGUAAAGCUC
RNAcentral lists this ribosomal RNA (385 nucleotides) under uncultured organism. Its description in RNAcentral is "bacterial SSU rRNA". It matches the Rfam family "Bacterial small subunit ribosomal RNA", at positions 45 to 433 of the family's 1533-position model. The record is from RNAcentral.